AGGCAGGUACAGUUACAGUAUAACAAGUGUUUUAUUGUCAUUCCUCCUGCUUAAAGCAUUUGACGCUUUACUAUCUCUGUCUAGCUUCAUCCCUUAGUAAGACAGAGAUGCUUGAUCUCAAACAU
Molecule: small nucleolar RNA, 125 nt
Filed under: Castor canadensis (American beaver)
Lineage: Eukaryota; Metazoa; Chordata; Mammalia; Rodentia; Castoridae
Description: Small nucleolar RNA SNORA63 (ENSCCNG00000004862.1)
Source: RNAcentral